This 115-nucleotide ribosomal RNA is filed under the name bacterium. The record is from RNAcentral.
ACUGGCAGUUAUAGCGCAGAGGGUACACCUGUUCCCAUUCCGAACACAGCAGUUAAGCUCUGUAGCGCCGAUGGUACUUAAGAAUAGACUUUGGGAGAGUAGGACGCUGCCAGUU